GAUGAACGCUGGCGGCGUGCCUAAUACAUGCAAGUCGAGCGAACGGACGAGAAGCUUGCUUCUCUGAUGUUAGCGGCGGACGGGUGAGUAACACGUGGAUUACCUACCUAUAAGACUUGGAUAACUUCGGGAAACCGUAGCUAAUACCGGAUAAUAUUUUUAACCUCAUGGUUCAAAAGUUUUAUACGUUCUUGCUGUCACUUCUAGAUGUAUCCGCGCUGCAUGAGCUAUUUGGUAAGGUAACGGCUUCCCAAGGCCACGAUGCAUAGCCGACCUGGGAAGGUGAACGGGCACACUGGGGCUGAGACACGAUCCAGAGUCCGACGGGAGGCAGAAACAGGGAAGGUACCGAAAAGGGCGAAAGACUGAAGGAGCAACGCAGGGUGAGUGAUGAAGGGCUGCGGAUCGGAAAACUCUGUUAUUAGGGAAGAACAUAUGUGUAAGUAACUGUGCACAUCGUGACGGUACCUAAUCAGAAAGCCACGGCUAACUACGUG
Molecule: ribosomal RNA, 497 nt
Filed under: uncultured bacterium
Lineage: Bacteria
Description: partial 16S ribosomal RNA
Rfam family: Bacterial small subunit ribosomal RNA
Source: RNAcentral